Molecule: ribosomal RNA, 810 nt
Filed under: uncultured bacterium
Lineage: Bacteria
Description: bacterial SSU rRNA
Rfam family: Bacterial small subunit ribosomal RNA
Source: RNAcentral
AGAGUUUGAUCCUGGCUCAGAAUCAACGCUGGCGGCGUGCCUCAGACAUGCAAGUCGAACGCGAAAGUCCCCUUCGGGGGACAAGUAGAGUGGCGCACGGGUGAGUAACACGUGGGUAAUUUACCUUCGGGUGGGGAAUAACAGCCGGAAACGGCUGCUAAUACCGCAUAAUGCAGCGGCACCUAAUGGUGACAGUUGUUAAAGCGGGGGAUCGUAAGACCUCGCGCCUGAAGAGAAGCCCGCGGCGGAUUAGCUAGUUGGUAGGGUAACGGCCUACCAAGGCGACGAUCCGUAGCCGGCCUGAGAGGGCGGUCGGCCACACUGACACUGGUACACGGGUCAGACUCCUACGGGAGGCAGCAGUCGGGAAUUUUGGGCAAUGGGCGCAAGCCUGACCCAGCAACGCCGCGUGAAGGAUGAAGUUUCUCGGAAUGUAAACUUCACAAGAGUGGGAAGAAUAAGCGCGGGCCAACACCCCGCGCGAUGACGGUACCAUUUGUAAGCUCCGGCUAACUCCGUGCCAGCAGCCGCGGUAAUACGGGGGGAGCAAGCGUUGUUCGGAUUUACUGGGCGUAAAGGGCGCGUAGGCGGCGCGACAAGUCACUUGUGAAAUCUCCGGGCUCAACCCGGCAGCGGUCAAGUGAUACUGUCGUGCUAGAGUGCGGAAGGGGCAACUGGAAUUCUCGGUGUAGCGGUGAAAUGCGUAGAUAUCGAGAGGAACACCUGCGGCGAAGGCGGGUUGCCGGGCCGACACUGACGCUGAGGCGCGAAAGCUAGGGGAGCGAACGGGAUUAGAUACCCCGGUAGUCC